RNAcentral lists this ribosomal RNA (351 nucleotides) under Hyperolius frontalis (white-snouted reed frog). RNAcentral's name for it is "partial 12S ribosomal RNA". It matches the Rfam family "Bacterial small subunit ribosomal RNA", at positions 866 to 1403 of the family's 1533-position model. The record is from RNAcentral. Lineage: Eukaryota; Metazoa; Chordata; Amphibia; Anura; Hyperoliidae.
AAAACGCCAAAAAAUUACGAGCGAAAGCUUAAAACUUAAAGGACUUGACGGUGUCUAUCUACCUAGAGGAGCCUGUUCUAUAAUUGAUGAUCCUCGUUAUACCUCACCCCUCUUGGCUUAUCAGUCUGUAUACUUCCGUCGUAAGCUUACCAUCUGAAUGUAUUAGUAGGCUAAACAGACAAAACGUCAGGUCAAAGUGCAGCCUACAAAAAGGGAAGAAAUGGGCUACGUUUCUAUUCAAGAACAAACGAAGCAUCUCAAAAUGCUAUGAAGGUGGAUUUAGAAGUAAAGUGAAAAUAGAGUGUUCACUUUAACAACGCUCUGGGACGUGUACACACCGCCCGUCACCCU